GCCCUAGUAACGGCGAGUGAAGCGGCAACAGCUCAAAUUUGAAAUCUGGCUCUCGGGCCCGAGUUGUAAUUUGUAGAGGAUGCUUUUGGUGAGGUGCCUUCCGAGUUCCCUGGAACGGGACGCCAUAGAGGGUGAGAGCCCCGUCUGGUUGGACACCGAUCCUCUGUAAAGCUCCUUCGACGAGUCGAGUAGUUUGGGAAUGCUGCUCUAAAUGGGAGGUAUAUGUCUUCUAAAGCUAAAUAUUGGCCAGAGACCGAUAGCGCACAAGUAGAGUGAUCGAAAGAUGAAAAGCACUUUGAAAAGAGAGUUAAAAAGUACGUGAAAUUGUUGAAAGGGAAGCGCUUGUGACCAGACUUGGGCUUGGUUGAUCAUCCAGGGUUCUCCCUGGUGCACUCUUCCAGCCCAGGCCAGCAUCAGUUUGCUUCGGGGGAUAAAGGCGUCGGGAAUGUGGCACCCUCCGGGGUGUGUUAUAGCCCGUCGUGUAAUACCCUGGGGCAGACUGAGGUUCGCGCAUCUGCAAGGAUGCUGGCGUAAUGGUCAUCAGCGACCCGUCUUGAAACACGGACCAAGGAGUCGUCUUCGUAUGCGAGUGUUCGGGUGUCAAACCCCUACGCGUAAUGAAAGUGAACGCAGGUGAGAGCUUCGGCGCAUCAUCGACCGAUCCUGAUGUUCUCGGAUGGAUUUGAGUAAGAGCAUACGGGGCCGGACCCGAAAGAAGGUGAACUAUGCCUGUAUAGGGUGAAGCCAGAGGAAACUCUGGUGGAGGCUCGCAGCGGUUCUGACGUGCAAAUCGAUCGUCAAAUAUGGGCAUGGGGGCGAAAGACUAAUCGAACC
Molecule: ribosomal RNA, 834 nt
Filed under: Fusarium cicatricum
Lineage: Eukaryota; Fungi; Ascomycota; Sordariomycetes; Hypocreales; Nectriaceae
Description: eukaryotic LSU rRNA
Rfam family: Eukaryotic large subunit ribosomal RNA
Source: RNAcentral